Molecule: ribosomal RNA, 166 nt
Filed under: uncultured Glomeromycotina
Lineage: Eukaryota; Fungi; Glomeromycota
Description: partial 18S ribosomal RNA
Rfam family: Eukaryotic small subunit ribosomal RNA
Source: RNAcentral
UUCUUGGAUUGAUUGAAGACUAACUACUGCGAAAGCAUUUGCCAAGGGAUGUUUUCANCCCUUUAGNGAACGAAAGUUAGGGGAUCGAAGACGAUCAGAUACCNNUNGUAGUCUUAACCAUAAACUAUGCCGACUAGGGAUCGGACGGUGUUAGUAUUUUGACCCG